CUACGGGUCGCUGCAGUGGGGAAUAUUGCACAAUGGGCGCAAGCCUGAUGCAGCCAUGCCGCGUGUAUGAAGAAGGCCUUCGGGUUGUAAAGUACUUUCAGCGGGGAGGAAGGGAGUAAAGUUAAUACCUUUGCUCAUUGACGUUACCCGCAGAAGAAGCACCGGCUAACUCCGUGCCUGCAGCCGCGGUAAUACGGAGGGUGCAAGCGUUAAUCGGAAUUACUGGGCGUAAAGCGCACGCAGGCGGUUUGUUAAGUCAGAUGUGAAAUCCCCGGGCUCAACCUGGGAACUGCAUCUGAUACUGGCAAGCUAGAGUCUCGUAGAGGGGGGUAGAAUUCCAGGUGUAGCGGUGAAAUGCGUAGAGAUCUGGAGGAAUACCGGUGGCGAAGGCGGCCCCCUGGACGAAGACUGACGCUCAGGUGCGAAAGCGUGGGGAGCAAACAGGAUUAGAUACCCCCGUAGUC
Molecule: ribosomal RNA, 464 nt
Filed under: uncultured bacterium
Lineage: Bacteria
Description: partial 16S ribosomal RNA
Rfam family: Bacterial small subunit ribosomal RNA
Source: RNAcentral